UCUCUGGUGGCGCAGCGGUGAAGCGCGCCGGUUGUGGUGCGACAGGUUGUGGGUUCGUUUCCCACCGCAUAGAA
Non-coding RNA from Caenorhabditis brenneri, 74 nucleotides. NCBI's taxonomy places the organism in Eukaryota, Metazoa, Nematoda, Chromadorea, Rhabditida, Rhabditidae. The record is from the annotation of a GenBank genome assembly.